GACGAACGCUGGCGGCGUGCUUAACACAUGCAAGUCGAACGCUGAAGCUCAGCUUUUGUUGGGUGGAUGAGUGGCGAACGGGUGAGUAACACGUGAGUAACCUGCCUCCUUCUUUGGGAUAACGCCCGGAAACGGGUGCUAAUACUGGAUAUUCACUGGUCUUCGCAUGGGGGUGGGUGGAAAGGGUGGUUCUGGGGGGGGAUGGGCUCGCGGCCUAUCAGCUUGGUGGUGGGGUGAUGGCCUACCAAGGCUUUGACGGGUCGCCGGCCUGAGAGGGUGCCCGGUCACAUUGGGACUGAGAUUCGGCCCAGGCUCCUACGGGGGGCAGCAGGGGGGAAUAUUGCGCAAUGUGCGCAAGCCUGAUGCAGCGCCGCCGCGUGAGGGAUGGCGGCCGUCGGGUUGGGAACCUCUUUCGCUCAUGGUCAAGCCGCAACAAUGGUUGUGGUGAGGGUAGUGGGUAAAGAAGCGCCGGCUAACUACGUG
This 483-nucleotide ribosomal RNA is filed under the name uncultured bacterium. Its description in RNAcentral is "partial 16S ribosomal RNA". It matches the Rfam family "Bacterial small subunit ribosomal RNA", at positions 28 to 507 of the family's 1533-position model. The record is from RNAcentral.